GAUGAACGCUGGCGGCGUGCCUAAUACAUGCAAGCCGAGCGAACAGAUGAGGAGCUUGCUCCUCUGACGUUAGCGGCGGACGGGUGAGUAACACGUGGAUAACCUACCUAUAAGACUGGGAUAACUUCGGGAAACCGGAGCUAAUACCGGAUAAUAUAUUGAACCGCAUGGUUCAAUAGUGAAAGACGGUUUUGCUGUCACUUAUAGAUGGAUCCGCGCCGCAUUAGCUAGUUGGUAAGGUAACGGCUUACCAAGGCAACGAUGCGUAGCCGACCUGAGAGGGUGAUCGGCCACACUGGAACUGAGACACGGUCCAGACUCCUACGGGAGGCAGCAGUAGGGAAUCUUCCGCAAUGGGCGAAAGCCUGACGGAGCAACGCCGCGUGAGUGAUGAAGGUCCUCGGAUCGUAAAACUCUGUUAUUAGGGAAGAACAAAUGUGUAAGUAACUAUGCACGUCUUGACGGUACCUAAUCAGAAAGCCACGGCUAACUACGUG
This 497-nucleotide ribosomal RNA is filed under the name uncultured bacterium. RNAcentral describes it as "partial 16S ribosomal RNA". It matches the Rfam family "Bacterial small subunit ribosomal RNA", at positions 28 to 507 of the family's 1533-position model. The record is from RNAcentral.